Molecule: ribosomal RNA, 254 nt
Filed under: uncultured bacterium
Lineage: Bacteria
Description: partial 16S ribosomal RNA
Rfam family: Bacterial small subunit ribosomal RNA
Source: RNAcentral
UACGCAGGCAGCAAGCGUUGUUCGGAAUUACUGGGCGUAAAGAGUGUGUAGGCGGUGCUCUAAGUCUGUCGUGAAAUCUCCCGGCUUAACUGGGAGGGUGCGGCGGAUACUAUUGUGCUAGAGGGUGGGAGAGGUAAGCGGAAUUCCUGGUGUAGCGGUGAAAUGCGUAGAUAUCAGGAGGAACACCGGUGGCGAAGGCGGCAUCCUGGACCAACACUGACGCUGAGUGAGCGAAAGCCAGGGGAGCAAACGGG